CCUAGGGUGGGCAGCAGUGAGGAAUAUUGGUCAAUGGGCUUACGCCUGAACCAGCCAAGUCGCGUGAGGGAAGACUGCCCUAUGGGUUGUAAACCUCUUUUGUCAGGGAGCAAUUGGCGCUACGUGUAGCGUUAUCGAGAGUACCUGAAGAAAAAGCAUCGGCUAACUCCGUGCCAGCAGCCGCGGUAAUACGGAGGAUGCGAGCGUUAUCCGGAUUUAUUGGGUUUAAAGGGUGCGUAGGCGGAAUGCCAAGUCAGCGGUAAAAUCGCGGGGCUCAACCAUAGAAUUGCCGUUGAAACUGGGAGGCUUGAGUAUGUUUGAGGCAGGCGGAAUGCGUGGUGUAGCGGUGAAAUGCUUAGAUAUCACGCAGAACCCCGAUUGCGAAGGCAGCCUGCCAAGCCAUGACUGACGCUGAUGCACGAAAGCGUGGGGAUCAAACAGGAUUAGAUACCCGAGUAGUC
Molecule: ribosomal RNA, 461 nt
Filed under: uncultured bacterium
Lineage: Bacteria
Description: partial 16S ribosomal RNA
Rfam family: Bacterial small subunit ribosomal RNA
Source: RNAcentral